RNAcentral lists this ribosomal RNA (550 nucleotides) under uncultured bacterium. Its description in RNAcentral is "bacterial SSU rRNA". It matches the Rfam family "Bacterial small subunit ribosomal RNA", at positions 355 to 896 of the family's 1533-position model. The record is from RNAcentral.
UAGGGAAUCUUCGGCAAUGGGGGGAACCCUGACCGAGCAACGCCGCGUGAGUGAAGAAGGUUUUCGGAUCGUAAAGCUCUGUUGUUAAGGAAGAACGUGUGUGAGAGUGGAAAGUUCACACAGUGACGGUACUUAACCAGAAAGGGACGGCUAACUACGUGCCAGCAGCCGCGGUAAUACGUAGGUCCCGAGCGUUGUCCGGAUUUAUUGGGCGUAAAGCGAGCGCAGGCGGUUAGAUAAGUCUGAAGUGAAAGGCAGUGGCUCAACCAUUGUAGGCUUUGGAAACUGUUUAACUUGGGUGCAGAAGGGGAGAGUGGAAUUCCAUGUGUAACGGUGAAAUGCGUAGAUAUAUGGAGGAACACCGGUGGCGAAAGCGGCUCUCUGGUCUGUAACUGACGCUGAGGCUCGAAAGCGUGGGGAGCGAACAGGAUUAGAUACCCUGGUAGUCCACGCCGUAAACGAUGAGUGCUAGGUGUUAGGUCCUUUCCGGGACUUAGUGCCGCAGCUAACGCAUUAAGCACUCCGCCUGGGGAGUACGACCGCAAGGUUG